RNAcentral lists this ribosomal RNA (508 nucleotides) under uncultured bacterium. RNAcentral's name for it is "partial 16S ribosomal RNA". It matches the Rfam family "Bacterial small subunit ribosomal RNA", at positions 28 to 523 of the family's 1533-position model. The record is from RNAcentral.
GACGAACGCUGGCGGCGUGCCUAAUACAUGCAAGUCGAGCGGGUUUGUUCCUUCGGGGACAAGCUAGCAGCGGACGGGUGAGUAACACGUAGGUAACCUGCCUUCAAGAUCGGGAUAACUUUCGGAAACGAACGCUAAGACCGGAUAGCUGGUUUUCUCGCAUGAGAGAAUCAUGAAACACGGCGCAAUCUGUGGCUUGAAGAUGGGCCUGCGGCGCAUUAGCUAGUUGGUAGGGUAACGGCCUACCAAGGCGACGAUGCGUAGCCGACCUGAGAGGGUGAACGGCCACACUGGGACUGAGACACGGCCCAGACUCCUACGGGAGGCAGCAGUAGGGAAUCUUCCGCAAUGGACGCAAGUCUGACGGAGCAACGCCGCGUGAGUGAUGAAGGUUUUCGGAUCGUAAAGCUCUGUUGCCCUAGACGAACAGCAGGGAGAGUAACUGCUCUCUGUGUGACGGUAUAGGAGAAGAAAGCCCCGGCUAACUACGUGCCAGCCGCCGCCGUAA